This 1174-nucleotide long non-coding RNA is filed under the name Equus caballus (horse). RNAcentral's name for it is "lncRNA (ENSECAG00000054389.1)". Lineage: Eukaryota; Metazoa; Chordata; Mammalia; Perissodactyla; Equidae. The record is from RNAcentral.
AUGGCCUGCCUGCCUUCCUUAAGAGGAGACAGGCCACAGAGCGUCUCACUUCCAGCUGUUUGGCAAGGUGAGAAAGAAGUCGCUUUCCACAGGGCUCUUACAGCCUAUUGGGAACCUCUCAUACAAAAGCCUGAAAUGCAGUUUGUUUCCAGCCAUGAUUUCACUGCCUUGGAAUCUCUGCUCUAAGCCAUAUCCCACUUUACUCCAGAGAUGGAAGACACAAAGCGGUGAAUCAUUGCCGCCAAAGGAGACAAGCCACAAACGCUCUUCUUUCCAGCUCUUUGGGAAGGUAAGCAACAAAUAACUCUCCACUGUGCUCUUACAGCCUACCGGGAACGUCUCUCAGAAAGAUCUGUGAAACGCAGAUUCUUCCCAACCCUGAUCUCACUGAAGUAGAACUUCUUCUCUGCCGUGAUCUACAUUGCCCUAUAGGUGCAAGGCACAAAGUCCUGCCUCGUUUCCUUCAAGUGAAGACAGCCCACAAAGCGUCUUGCUUCCAGCACUUUGGGAAUCUAAGAAACAACUCGCUCUCCACAGUGCUCCUACAGCCUACCGGGAAAAUCUCUUACAAAGGACAGGGAAACACAGUUGCUUUCCAUCCCUGAACUGGCUGAAGUAGAAAUUGUGCUCUGCCAUGUCCUACAUUGCUCUAGAGGUGGAAGUCACAGAGUGCUGAGUCAUUGCCUCCAAAGAAUACAAGCCACAAACGGUCUUGCUUCCAGCGCUAGGAAGCUAAGAAAUAACUGCCUCUCAAUAGUGCUCUUACAUCUACUGGGAACAUCUCUCACAAAGAUCGGUGAAACGCAGUUUCUUCCCAGCCUUGAUCUUGCUGAAGUAGAACUUCUGCUCUGCCAUGUCCUACGUUGCCCUAGAGUUGCAAGGCAAAAUGUCCUGCAUUGUUUCCUAAAGGCAGGCAAACCAGAAAGCAUCUUGCUUCCAGCUGGUUUGGAAGCUAAGAAGCAACUCACUCUCCACAGUGCUCUUAGAGCCUACCGUGAACAUCUCUUACAAAGGCCUGUGAAACGCACUUUCUUCCCACACCUGAUCUCGCUGAAGUAGACCUUCUGCUCUGCCAUGUCCUACAUUGUGCAAGAGGUGGAAGUCACAAUGACCUGCCUGACUUCCUUAAGAGGAAACAGGCCAUAGACUGUGUUCCUCCCAGCUGUUUGGCAAG